Molecule: non-coding RNA, 112 nt
Filed under: human gut metagenome
Description: FMN riboswitch (RFN element)
Rfam family: FMN riboswitch aptamer (RFN element)
About the family: The RFN element is a highly conserved domain that is found frequently in the 5'-untranslated regions of prokaryotic mRNAs that encode for flavin mononucleotide (FMN) biosynthesis and transport proteins.
Source: RNAcentral
AUCUUCGGGGCGGGGUGCAAUUCCCCACCGGCGGUGACAGUCCGCGAACGCCCAAACGGGUGCCGAUCCGGUGAAAUUCCGGAACCGACGGUACAGUCCGGAUACAAGAAGA